RNAcentral lists this ribosomal RNA (1548 nucleotides) under Salmonella enterica subsp. enterica serovar Typhimurium. Its description in RNAcentral is "bacterial SSU rRNA". It matches the Rfam family "Bacterial small subunit ribosomal RNA". The record is from RNAcentral. Lineage: Bacteria; Pseudomonadati; Pseudomonadota; Gammaproteobacteria; Enterobacterales; Enterobacteriaceae.
UAGAGUUUGAUCAUGGCUCAGAUUGAACGCUGGCGGCAGGCCUAACACAUGCAAGUCGAACGGUAACAGGAAGCAGCUUGCUGCUUCGCUGACGAGUGGCGGACGGGUGAGUAAUGUCUGGGAAACUGCCUGAUGGAGGGGGAUAACUACUGGAAACGGUGGCUAAUACCGCAUAACGUCGCAAGACCAAAGAGGGGGACCUUCGGGCCUCUUGCCAUCAGAUGUGCCCAGAUGGGAUUAGCUUGUUGGUGAGGUAACGGCUCACCAAGGCGACGAUCCCUAGCUGGUCUGAGAGGAUGACCAGCCACACUGGAACUGAGACACGGUCCAGACUCCUACGGGAGGCAGCAGUGGGGAAUAUUGCACAAUGGGCGCAAGCCUGAUGCAGCCAUGCCGCGUGUAUGAAGAAGGCCUUCGGGUUGUAAAGUACUUUCAGCGGGGAGGAAGGUGUUGUGGUUAAUAACCGCAGCAAUUGACGUUACCCGCAGAAGAAGCACCGGCUAACUCCGUGCCAGCAGCCGCGGUAAUACGGAGGGUGCAAGCGUUAAUCGGAAUUACUGGGCGUAAAGCGCACGCAGGCGGUCUGUCAAGUCGGAUGUGAAAUCCCCGGGCUCAACCUGGGAACUGCAUUCGAAACUGGCAGGCUUGAGUCUUGUAGAGGGGGGUAGAAUUCCAGGUGUAGCGGUGAAAUGCGUAGAGAUCUGGAGGAAUACCGGUGGCGAAGGCGGCCCCCUGGACAAAGACUGACGCUCAGGUGCGAAAGCGUGGGGAGCAAACAGGAUUAGAUACCCUGGUAGUCCACGCCGUAAACGAUGUCUACUUGGAGGUUGUGCCCUUGAGGCGUGGCUUCCGGAGCUAACGCGUUAAGUAGACCGCCUGGGGAGUACGGCCGCAAGGUUAAAACUCAAAUGAAUUGACGGGGGCCCGCACAAGCGGUGGAGCAUGUGGUUUAAUUCGAUGCAACGCGAAGAACCUUACCUGGUCUUGACAUCCACAGAACUUUCCAGAGAUGGAUUGGUGCCUUCGGGAACUGUGAGACAGGUGCUGCAUGGCUGUCGUCAGCUCGUGUUGUGAAAUGUUGGGUUAAGUCCCGCAACGAGCGCAACCCUUAUCCUUUGUUGCCAGCGAUUAGGUCGGGAACUCAAAGGAGACUGCCAGUGAUAAACUGGAGGAAGGUGGGGAUGACGUCAAGUCAUCAUGGCCCUUACGACCAGGGCUACACACGUGCUACAAUGGCGCAUACAAAGAGAAGCGACCUCGCGAGAGCAAGCGGACCUCAUAAAGUGCGUCGUAGUCCGGAUUGGAGUCUGCAACUCGACUCCAUGAAGUCGGAAUCGCUAGUAAUCGUGGAUCAGAAUGCCACGGUGAAUACGUUCCCGGGCCUUGUACACACCGCCCGUCACACCAUGGGAGUGGGUUGCAAAAGAAGUAGGUAGCUUAACCUUCGGGAGGGCGCUUACCACUUUGUGAUUCAUGACUGGGGUGAAGUCGUAACAAGGUAACCGUAGGGGAACCUGCGGUUGGAUCACCUCCUUACCUUAAAGAAGC